This 503-nucleotide ribosomal RNA is filed under the name uncultured bacterium. RNAcentral's name for it is "partial 16S ribosomal RNA". It matches the Rfam family "Bacterial small subunit ribosomal RNA", at positions 29 to 507 of the family's 1533-position model. The record is from RNAcentral.
AACGAACGCUGGCGGCGUGCCUAACACAUGCAAGUCGAACGAGAAAGGGGCUUCGGCUCCGAGUAAAGUGGCGCACGGGUGAGUAACACGUGGGUAACCUGCCUCCAAUAUUGGGAUAACUCGUCGAAAGAUGAGCUAAUACCGAAUAAGACCACAGUUCCCGCGGGAACAGGGGUCAAAGGUAGCCCCUGCUUGCAAGCUAUCACUUAGAGAUGGGCCUGCGCACCAUUAGCUAGUUGGUACGGUAACGGCUUGCCAAGGCAAAGAUGGUUAGCUGGUCUGAGAGGAUGGUCAGCCGCACUGGAACUGAGACACGGUCCAGACUCCUACGGGAGGCAGCAGUGGGGAAUAUUGCGCAAGGGGCGAAAGAUUGACGCAGCAACGCCGCGGGAGUGAUGAGGGCCUUCGGGUCGUAGAGCUCUGUCGGGAGGAACGAAUGCUCCUGAGGUUAACAGCCUCGGGAGGUGACGGUACCUUCAAAGGAAGCACCGGCUAACUCUGUG